This is a long non-coding RNA of Monodelphis domestica (gray short-tailed opossum), 257 nucleotides long. RefSeq lists it as uncharacterized. The record is from RefSeq and is a predicted model, not a curated record. NCBI's taxonomy places the organism in Eukaryota, Metazoa, Chordata, Mammalia, Didelphimorphia, Didelphidae.
UCAGAAAAAAGAUUAUGUAUCCUGAGAUGAAUACAUGUGACAAUUUAAGAAGGGGAUGAAGCAGUUAACAACUGGGGACAAGAGGGUUUCAAAAUCACUUCUCCAAUCAAGACUUAAUGUUGGUUUUUUUAUUGUUGUGGAAGUGAACAAAUGUAAGCUGGGAACAGGAAGAAAGAAGACUAUCUAGUUCUGAACAAGAAACUGGUCUAUGGUUUUCCAAGAAGUGUGCUACUUGGCCUAAGAACAUAGACUGCAGG